Molecule: non-coding RNA, 264 nt
Organism: Pelobates cultripes (western spadefoot toad)
Lineage: Eukaryota; Metazoa; Chordata; Amphibia; Anura; Pelobatidae
Source: the annotation of a GenBank genome assembly
GUGAGGAUGCUGUGAGUGUCAGGGGUGCAGUGUGUGUGUGAGUGACGGUGCUGUCAGUGUCAAAGGUGCAGUGUGUGUGUGUGAGAGUGCUAUGUCAGGGGUGCAGUGUGUGUGUGUGCGUGAGUGAGUGUGCUGUGAGUGUCAGGGGUGCUUGUGUGUGUGAGGGUGCUGUGAGUGUCAACGUGCAGUGUGCGUGUGUGAGUGAUUAUUUCCCCCCUCCCUUCUAACCUUUGGUGGUGCUAGCGGUGAGUGAACUCUAGCCUG